RNAcentral lists this long non-coding RNA (506 nucleotides) under Olea europaea (common olive). Its description in RNAcentral is "long non-coding RNA (OEUR_LNC002922)". Lineage: Eukaryota; Viridiplantae; Streptophyta; Magnoliopsida; Lamiales; Oleaceae. The record is from RNAcentral.
GGGAGGGUUCGGGAUUGUGUACAAGGGCAGCUUAAGUGAUGGGACUGUGGUAGCUGUCAAAAGAUUGAAAGACUAUAAUGCUGUUGGCGGCGAAAUUCAGUUUCAGACAGAAGUAGAAACAAUUAGUCUUGCUGUUCAUCGGAACCUCCUCCGCCUUUGGGGUUUUUGCUCAACCGAAAAUGAGCGCCUUCUAGUCUAUCCNACAAUUAGUCUUGCUGUUCAUCGGAACCUCCUCCGCCUUUGGGGUUUUUGCUCAACCGAAAAUGAGCGCCUUCUAGUCUAUCCGUUUAUGCCAAAUGGGAGUGUGGCCUCUAGAUUGAAAGGUUUGGCUCUUUGUAUAUGUGCUUUUGUUUUUUUAAUCAAUUCUCAAACCAUAUAAUGCAUGUUUGGCAGUCUGGACAGUAGUGGACAUGAUUGAAAAAUACACUAACCAAGAUUUUUAACUUCUUUUUCUUCCUUAAUAGUGUCCAAUAUUAUCCAACCUAGCAUCAUUACCAGGUCUGAUG